GAUCUGCCCCCCUCGGCCUCCCAAAGUGCUGGGAUUACAGGACUGAGCCACCAUUCCCAGCCCCAAAUGAAUUUCUGUUACUUCACAGCCUUUUGUCAAAGCAUUAUGCCUUAGGCCGACCCCACACCCCCAGGGAAAGGAAAAAAGCCUCAGGCAUCCUUAGAUGACUGCCCUCAGAAAUUGUUCUGUGCUGGCUUUGAACCCUUUCAAGAUGUCCUAUAAAACAAGGACAUGCCAAUUCUUACUUCAGGUCUGCCUGCAAUCUAAGUCUAGCUCCUAAAGUAAGAGUUUGUUAGAUUUCACACUGAUGAUGCUUGUAUUGAUGAAAAAGAAAGCCGAACUCUAAAAUACUUGAAGAGAUGUAUUAUUCUGAGCCAAUGUGAGGACAAUAAUCCAUGACAAAGCCCCAGGAGGUCCUGAGAACACGUGCCCAAGAUGGUUGGGUUACAGCUUGAUUUUAUGUAUUUUAGGGGGACAGAAGUUACAAUCAGAGACAUAAAUCAAUAGACGCAAGGUGUACAUUGAUUUUGCCCAGAAAGGCAGGACAUCUCAAAAGGGGAAGCCUUGCAAGUCAGGUGGAUUUAAAGAUUUCUGAUUGGCAACUGGUUGAAAGGGUUAAAUUUGGGCCGGGCACAGUGGCUCACACCUGUAAUCCCAGCACUUUGGGAGGUCGAGGUGGGGUGGAUCACGAGGUCAAGAGUUCAGGACCAGCCUGGCCAACGUGGUGAAACCCUGUCUCUGCUAAGAAUACAAAAAUUAGGCAGGUGUGGUGGCACAUGCGUGUAAUCCCAGCUACUCAGGAGGCUGAGGCAGGAGAAUAGACUCUGUCUCAGAAAAAAAAAAAAAAAAAGUUAAAUUCUGCCUAAAGAAUUGAAGUAUUCAAUUCUACCUAAAGUGUUGAAGUCCACAGAAAUGUUUGCAGUUAAGAUCAUGAGAGGGUAUAGAAGGCAAGGUUCUUGGUUUUGUUUUGUUUUUGAGAUGGAGUCUCACUCUGUCUCCCAGGCUGGAGUGCAAUGGCAUGAUCUCAGCUCACUGCAACCUCUGCCUCUUGGGUUUAAAUGAUUCUCCUGCCUCAGCCUCCUGAGUUGCUGGGAUUGCAGGCGUGCACCACCGUGCCCAGCCGGAAAACAUUCUUUCUCAAAAAAAAAAAAAAAAAAGCUGGGUGCGGUGGCUCACGCCUGUAAUCCCAGCACUUUGGGAGGCGAAGGCGGGGGGAUCGUGAAGUCAGGAGAUCGAGACCAUCCUGGCUAACAUGGUGAAACCCCGUCUGUACUAAAAAAAAUACAAAAAAAUUAGGCA
This 1299-nucleotide long non-coding RNA is filed under the name Homo sapiens (human). RNAcentral describes it as "non-protein coding lnc-TMEM138-10:1". Lineage: Eukaryota; Metazoa; Chordata; Mammalia; Primates; Hominidae. The record is from RNAcentral.